Molecule: ribosomal RNA, 551 nt
Filed under: uncultured bacterium
Lineage: Bacteria
Description: bacterial SSU rRNA
Rfam family: Bacterial small subunit ribosomal RNA
Source: RNAcentral
UGGGGAAUUUUGGACAAUGGGCGCAAGCCUGAUCCAGCCAUGCCGCGUGUCUGAAGAAGGCCUUCGGGUUGUAAAGGACUUUUGUCAGGGAAGAAAAGGCUGUUGCUAAUAUCGACAGCUGAUGACGGUACCUGAAGAAUAAGCACCGGCUAACUACGUGCCAGCAGCCGCGGUAAUACGUAGGGUGCGAGCGUUAAUCGGAAUUACUGGGCGUAAAGCGAGCGCAGACGGUUACUUAAGCAGGAUGUGAAAUCCCCGGGCUCAACCUGGGAACUGCGUUCUGAACUGGGUGACUAGAGUGUGUCAGAGGGAGGUAGAAUUCCACGUGUAGCAGUGAAAUGCGUAGAGAUGUGGAGGAAUACCGAUGGCGAAGGCAGCCUCCUGGGAUAACACUGACGUUCAUGCUCGAAAGCGUGGGUAGCAAACAGGAUUAGAUACCCUGGUAGUCCACGCCCUAAACGAUGUCAAUUAGCUGUUGGGCAACUUGAUUGCUUAGUAGCGUAGCUAACGCGUGAAAUUGACCGCCUGGGGAGUACGGUCGCAAAGAUUAA